CGGGUGAGUAACGCGUGGGUAAUCUGCCCUCGAAUCCGGGAUAACAUUGCGAAAGCGAUGCUAAUACCGGACGAAGUUGUCGAGCUUUGGCUGGGCGAUGAAAGGUGGCCUCUACAAGAAAGCUACUGUUCGGGGAUGAGCCCGCGUACCAUUAGCUAGUCGGUAGGGUAACGGCCUACCGAGGCGACGAUGGUUAGCUGGUCUGAGAGGAUGAUCAGCCACACUGGAACUGACACACGGUCCAGACUCCUACGGGAGGCAGCAGUGAGGAAUUUUGCGCAAUGGGGGUAACCCUGACGCAGCAACGCCGCGUGAGUGAUGAAGGCCUUCGGGUCGUAAAGCUCUGUCAAUGGGGAAGAACCUGUGACAUGCCAACAGCAUGUUGCACUGACGGUACCCAUAAAGGAAGCACCGGCUAACUCCGUGCCAGCAGCCGCGGUAACACGGAGGGUGCGAGCGUUAUUCGGAAUUAUUGGGCGUAAAGCGCGCGCAGGCGGUUUACUAAGUCAGAUGUGAAAGCCCGGGGCUCAACCCCGGAAGAGCAUUUGAUACUGGUAGGCUUGAGUAUGGGAGAGGGAAGUGGAAUUCCUGGUGUAGAGGUGAAAUUCGUAGAGAUCAGGAGGAACACCGGUGGCGAAGGCGACUUCCUGGACCAAUACUGACGCUGAGGCGCGAAGGCGUGGGGAGCAAACAGGAUUAGAUACCCUGGUAGUCCACGCAGUAAACGGUGAUCACUAGGUGUAGCGGGUAUUGACCCCUGCUGUGCCGGAGUUAACGCAUUAAGUGAUCCGCCUGGGGAGUACGGCCGCAAGGUUAAAACUCAAAGGAAUUGACGGGGGCCCGCACAAGCGGUGGAGCAUGUGGUUUAAUUCGACGCAACGCGAAGAACCUUACCUGGGUUUGACAUCCCGGGAAUCCUUUUGAAAAAAGGGAGUGCCCUUCGGGGAGCCCGGUGACAGGUGCUGCAUGGCUGUCGUCAGCUCGUGUCGUGAGAUGUUGGGUUAAGUCCGGCAACGAGCGCACCCCCUAUCUUUAGUUACCAUCAUUCAGUUGGGGAGUCUAGAGAUACUGCCCCGGUCAACGGGGAGGAAGGUGGGGAUGACGUCAAGUCCUCAUGUCCUUUAUAUCCA
RNAcentral lists this ribosomal RNA (1130 nucleotides) under uncultured organism. Its description in RNAcentral is "bacterial SSU rRNA". It matches the Rfam family "Bacterial small subunit ribosomal RNA", at positions 103 to 1210 of the family's 1533-position model. The record is from RNAcentral.